UAAGUCCUACGGGAGGCAGCAGUCGGGAAUAUUGCGCAAUGGAGGAAACUCUGACGCAGUGACGCCGCGUGCAGGAAGAAGGUUUUCGGAUUGUAAACUGCUUUAGACAGGGAAGAAAAAAGACAGUACCUGUAGAAUAAGCUCCGGCUAACUACGUGCCAGCAGCCGCGGUAAUACGUAGGGAGCGAGCGUUAUCCGGAUUUAUUGGGUGUAAAGGGUGCGUAGACGGGGAGUUAAGUUAGUUGUGAAAUCCCAAGGCUCAACUUUGGAACUGCAACUAAAACUAAUUUUCUUGAGUACUGGAG
This 305-nucleotide ribosomal RNA is filed under the name uncultured bacterium. Its description in RNAcentral is "bacterial SSU rRNA". It matches the Rfam family "Bacterial small subunit ribosomal RNA", at positions 333 to 654 of the family's 1533-position model. The record is from RNAcentral.